CGCCCUUGCUGUGGUAUAAAAUGCGCCGCUUUCCGGGGAUACCCCGAAAAGCUUAAAUCCACACACGUGUCGACACGAUGACCUGGGUGCCGGAGGCCUUGAUGCCGCUGGUUGGUCAUUGGGAUACGUGGAGGCCAAACC
This 141-nucleotide small RNA is filed under the name Pseudomonas synxantha BG33R. RNAcentral describes it as "putative t44 RNA". The stretch from base 42 to 140 matches the Rfam family "t44 RNA". Rfam says of the family: This family consists of a number of bacterial RNA genes of between 135 and 170 bases in length. The t44 gene is found between the map and rpsB genes in all species in the full alignment apart from Shigella flexneri. The record is from RNAcentral. Lineage: Bacteria; Pseudomonadati; Pseudomonadota; Gammaproteobacteria; Pseudomonadales; Pseudomonadaceae.